GCAUCUUUUGAAUAAUAUUUUUUAUUAAUAAUUAAAGCAUACAAAAAAUAGUAGCACGAUUCUAGAAUUUUUGGAAUACGUAGUUUAAAUAAUUGAAUUAUAAAAUGAUUAAUAUAUUUUUUAUUAGUAACAUAAUAAAUAAACAGAAGUACGCUACGACUUGCUUUAACUAAACUUUGAUUUUCAGAGCUUCAGUUGCGAUUGCGGGCAAUGCAAUCUUAGAAUCAGUGUUCGUUUUAAAAAAUGUUGCAUUUUUUGUAUGCAAUCGCAUAGAUUGCUUUAAAAGUAAUUCAAUCGUAAUAUUUAAAAUCAAUGCAAGAAUUUGUUAAAAUAUUCUUGUUAAAAAAACAAUUUGUUCGGUACGCGAUUAGAAUCAUUAACACACUUUCGGCCAAUUCGGUAGAAGAGGAUUUGCGUUUCGAUUAAAAUAUUGUCAUGGUCGAAAGUGUGAAUUAACAUCUUUAUUUCUUCUGGAUCAUCUUUAUCAACGAACCUGGGGCUUCGUCUGGAUAAAUCAACGAUUACUCAUCAAUUCAACGAUUCAACGAUUGAACGAUACAUCCAAUUUAAAUCAACUUCACAUCUUUAUUUCUUCUGGAUCAUCUUUAUCAACGAACCUGGGGCUUCGUCUGGAUAAAUCAACGUUUACUCAUCAAUUCAUCGAUUCAUCGAUUCAACGAUUCAAC
This 686-nucleotide long non-coding RNA is filed under the name Polistes fuscatus (common paper wasp). RNAcentral describes it as "uncharacterized LOC122515215". Lineage: Eukaryota; Metazoa; Arthropoda; Insecta; Hymenoptera; Vespidae. The record is from RNAcentral.